GACGAAGGGAUCCAAGCGUUAUCCGGAUUCAUUGGGUUUGAAAGGGAGGCGUAGGCGGGUUUAUAAGUCAGUGGUUGAAAUCCUAUACGCCUUAACGAUGGAACUGCCUAUUGAUACUGUAGACCUGAGAGUACAGGAUGAUGUUGGCGGAAUAUGACAUGUAGCGGUGAAAGUGACAUAGAUAUGUACAUAGAACACCGAUUGCGAAGGCAGCUGACAAAAACUGUGAA
This 230-nucleotide ribosomal RNA is filed under the name uncultured bacterium. RNAcentral's name for it is "partial 16S ribosomal RNA". It matches the Rfam family "Bacterial small subunit ribosomal RNA", at positions 524 to 740 of the family's 1533-position model. The record is from RNAcentral.